UCUUUUCCUUUUGUGCCCGCCGCCGCGGUAAUACGUAGGCGGCAAGCGUUGUCCGGAAUUAUUGGGCGUAAAGGGAGCGCAGGCGGGAAACUAAGCGGAUCUUAAAAGUGCGGGGCUCAACCCCGUGAUGGGGUCCGAACUGGUUUUCUUGAGUGCAGGAGAGGAAAGCGGAAUUCCCAGUGUAGCGGUGAAAUGCGUAGAUAUUGGGAAGAACACCAGUGGCGAAGGCGGCUUUCUGGACUGUAACUGACGCUGAGGCUCGAAAGCUAGGGUAGCGAACGGG
This 283-nucleotide ribosomal RNA is filed under the name Megamonas funiformis YIT 11815. RNAcentral's name for it is "partial 16S ribosomal RNA". It matches the Rfam family "Bacterial small subunit ribosomal RNA", at positions 493 to 776 of the family's 1533-position model. Lineage: Bacteria; Bacillati; Bacillota; Negativicutes; Selenomonadales; Selenomonadaceae. The record is from RNAcentral.